AUUGAACGCUGGCGGCAUGCCUUACACAUGCAAGUCGAACGGCAGCACGGGUGCUUGCACCUGGUGGCGAGUGGCGAACGGGUGAGUAAUACAUCGGAACGUACCUUAUCGUGGGGGAUAACGCAGCGAAAGUUGCGCUAAUACCGCAUACGCCCUGAGGGGGAAAGCGGGGGACCGUAAGGCCUCGCGCGAUUAGAGCGGCCGAUGUCUGAUUAGCUUGUUGGUGAGGUAAAAGCUCACCAAGGCGAUGAUCAGUAGCUGGUCUGAGAGGACGAUCAGCCACACUGGGACUGAGACACGGCCCAGACUCCUACGGGAGGCAGCAGUGGGGAAUUUUGGACAAUGGGGGCAACCCUUGAUCCAGCAAUGCCGCGUGAGUGAAGAAGGCCUUCGGGUUGUAAAGCUCUUUUGUCAGGGAAGAAACAGCAGCU
This 431-nucleotide ribosomal RNA is filed under the name Polynucleobacter sp. Fw70-42. RNAcentral describes it as "bacterial SSU rRNA". It matches the Rfam family "Bacterial small subunit ribosomal RNA", at positions 30 to 458 of the family's 1533-position model. Lineage: Bacteria; Pseudomonadati; Pseudomonadota; Betaproteobacteria; Burkholderiales; Burkholderiaceae. The record is from RNAcentral.